GCGUGUGUGAAGAAGGCCUUAGGGUUGUAAAGCACUUUCGGCUGUGAAGAUAAUGACAGUAGCAGAAGAAGAAGCUCCGGCUAAAUUCGUGCCAGCAGCCGCGGUAAUACGAAUGGAGCGAGCGUUGUUCGGAAUCACUGGGCGUAAAGCGUGCGCAGGCGGUCUUGAAAGUCAGGAGUGAAAUCCCAGGGCUUAACCCUGGAAUUGCUCUUGAAACUCCAAGACUGGAGUACUGGAGAGGUUGGCGGAAUUCCGAGUGUAGCAGUGAAAUGCGU
Molecule: ribosomal RNA, 275 nt
Filed under: uncultured bacterium
Lineage: Bacteria
Description: partial 16S ribosomal RNA
Rfam family: Bacterial small subunit ribosomal RNA
Source: RNAcentral